Molecule: ribosomal RNA, 478 nt
Filed under: uncultured bacterium
Lineage: Bacteria
Description: partial 16S ribosomal RNA
Rfam family: Bacterial small subunit ribosomal RNA
Source: RNAcentral
GACGAACGCUGGCGGCGUGCCUAACACAUGCAAGUCGAGCGAUGAAAUUCCUUCGGGGAUGGAUUAGCGGCGGACGGGUGAGUAACACGUGGGUAACCUGCCUCAAAGAGGGGGAUAGCCUCCCGAAAGGGAGAUUAAUACCGCAUAACAUUAGUUUUUCGCAUGAAGAACUAAUUAAAGGAGUAAUCCGCUUUGAGAUGGAUCCGCGGCGCAUUAGCUAGUUGGUGAGGUAACGGCUCACCAAGGCGACGAUGCGUAGCCGACCUGAGAGGGUGAUCGGCCACAUUGGAACUGAGACACGGUCCAGACUCCUACGGGAGGCAGCAGUGGGGAAUAUUGCACAAUGGGCGAAAGCCUGAUGCAGCAACGCCGCGUGAGUGAUGAAGGCCUUCGGGUUGUAAAGCUCUGUCUUUUGGGACGAUAAUGACGGUACCAAAGGAGGAAGCCACGGCUAACUACGUGCCAGCAGCCGCGGUAA